This 252-nucleotide long non-coding RNA is filed under the name Elaeis guineensis (African oil palm). RNAcentral describes it as "long non-coding RNA (EGUI_LNC072641)". Lineage: Eukaryota; Viridiplantae; Streptophyta; Magnoliopsida; Arecales; Arecaceae. The record is from RNAcentral.
GGAGGGAGGAAAGCGGGGUGCGGGAAGAAUUGGAGCACGUUAGCACGUGGAGUUUUGAAGAGCGGGAGAACGUGCGAAAAAUAAAGGGCGAAAGCGUGUGAAAUUAAUAUAGAAACGUGUCACUUUCGGAGGAAGGGUGGGGUUCGGACGAGUUUUGUUGCUUCAUCCCUUGUAUCACGGUCCCAUUAGCUGGCUUUCUGGGAUGGCACGUGAUACCGUACAGUUAAAGACUCGUUUGAUUGACAGAAAAUA